RNAcentral lists this long non-coding RNA (250 nucleotides) under Chinchilla lanigera (long-tailed chinchilla). RNAcentral's name for it is "lncRNA (ENSCLAG00000023084.1)". The record is from RNAcentral. Lineage: Eukaryota; Metazoa; Chordata; Mammalia; Rodentia; Chinchillidae.
GGAGGAUAUGCUCAAACCACCUCCCAAACCCUGUACCAGAUGGCAAAGACCAGAUCUGUCUCUGGAGUUCACUUUGCCCAUGUAGUUACUUUGCAGACCUUGGAAUCUUGGAAGAGCCUGUGAGUGCAACUGAGUGCCUUUACACAGAAAGAACCCUUGAGGAGCAGCAGAUUGUGACCCCUGUUCCAACAGACCUGGACUCUGCCAUCUGUGUCCUGUGUCAGGUAUUUAUGACUCAGCCACUAGAAAG